AACGAACGCUGGCGGCAUGCUUAACACAUGCAAGCCGAGCGCCCCGCAAGCGGCGCGGCCGACGGGUUAGUAACGCGUGGGAACGUACCUUUUGGUGCGGAACAACUCCGGGAAACUGGAGCGAAUACCGGAUAAGCCCUAACGGGGGAAGAUUGAUCGGCGAACGAUCGCCCCGCCUCUGAUUAGCUUCUUGGUGAGGUAACGGCUCACCAAGGCGACGAGCAGGAGCUGGUCUGGGAGGAUGAUAAGCCACACUGGGACUGAGACACGGCCCAGACUCCUACGGGAGGGAGCAGUGGGGAAUAUUGGAGAAUGGGGGCAAGUGUGAUCCAGCCACGCCGGGUGAGUGAUGAAGGCGUUAGGGUUGUAAAGCUCUUUUGUACGGGAAGAUAAUGACUGUACCGGAAGAAUAAGCCCCGGCUAACUUCGUG
This 431-nucleotide ribosomal RNA is filed under the name uncultured bacterium. RNAcentral describes it as "partial 16S ribosomal RNA". It matches the Rfam family "Bacterial small subunit ribosomal RNA", at positions 29 to 507 of the family's 1533-position model. The record is from RNAcentral.